Molecule: ribosomal RNA, 750 nt
Filed under: uncultured bacterium
Lineage: Bacteria
Description: bacterial SSU rRNA
Rfam family: Bacterial small subunit ribosomal RNA
Source: RNAcentral
CAGGCCUAACACAUGCAAGUCGAACGGAAGCAGGAGAAAGCUUGCUUUCUUGCUGACGAGUGGCGGACGGGUGAGUAAUGCUUGGGAAUCUGGCUUAUGGAGGGGGAUAACUACGGGAAACUGUAGCUAAUACCGCGUAGAAUCGGGAGAUGAAAGUGCGGGACCGCAAGGCCGCAUGCCAUGAGAUGAGCCCAAGUGGGAUUAGGUAGUUGGUGGGGUAAAGGCCUACCAAGCCUGCGAUCUCUAGCUGGUCUGAGAGGAUGGCCAGCCACACUGGAACUGAGACACGGUCCAGACUCCUACGGGAGGCAGCAGUGGGGAAUAUUGCGCAAUGGGGGGAACCCUGACGCAGCCAUGCCGCGUGAAUGAAGAAGGCCUUCGGGUUGUAAAGUUCUUUCGGUAUUGAGGAAGGAGUGUAUGUUAAUAGCAUACAUUAUUGACGUUAAAUACAGAAGAAGCACCGGCUAACUCCGUGCCAGCAGCCGCGGUAAUACGGAGGGUGCGAGCGUUAAUCGGAAUAACUGGGCGUAAAGGGCACGCAGGCGGUUAUUUAAGUGAGGUGUGAAAGCCCCGGGCUUAACCUGGGAAUUGCAUUUCAGACUGGGUAACUAGAGUACUUUAGGGAGGGGUAGAAUUCCACGUGUAGCGGUGAAAUGCGUAGAGAUGUGGAGGAAUACCGAAGGCGAAGGCAGCCCCUUGGGAAUGUACUGACGCUCAUGUGCGAAAGCGUGGGGAGCAAACAGGAUUAGA